UACCGCGGUUACACGAGGGGCCCAAGUUGACAGCCGCCGGCGUAAAGCGUGGUUACGGAUCACCUUAACUAAAGUCAAACAUCUCCCAAGCAGUCGUACGUACCCGGGGAAAGGAUGCUCGACCACGAAAGUGACUUUAACAACCCCGAACCCACCACAGCUAGGGCA
RNAcentral lists this ribosomal RNA (168 nucleotides) under Macroparalepis johnfitchi (black barracudina). RNAcentral's name for it is "partial small subunit ribosomal RNA". The record is from RNAcentral. Lineage: Eukaryota; Metazoa; Chordata; Actinopteri; Aulopiformes; Paralepididae.